Molecule: ribosomal RNA, 445 nt
Filed under: uncultured bacterium
Lineage: Bacteria
Description: partial 16S ribosomal RNA
Rfam family: Bacterial small subunit ribosomal RNA
Source: RNAcentral
GUGAGGAAUAUUGGUCAAUGGGCGGGAGCCUGAACCAGCCAAGUCGCGUGAAGGAAGAAGGAUCUAUGGUUCGUAAACUUCUUUUGCAGGGGAAUAAAGUGCAGGACGUGUCCUGUUUUGUAUGUACCCUGAGAAUAAGGAUCGGCUAACUCCGUGCCAGCAGCCGCGGUAAUACGGAGGAUCCGAGCGUUAUCCGGAUUUAUUGGGUUUAAAGGGUGCGUAGGUGGUUUGAUAAGUCAGCGGUGAAAGUUUGCAGCUUAACUGUAAAAAUGCCGUUGAAACUGUCGGACUUGAGUGUAAAUGAGGUAGGCGGAAUGCGUGGUGUAGCGGUGAAAUGCAUAGAUAUCACGCAGAACUCCGAUUGCGAAGGCAGCUUACUAAGCUACAACUGGCACUGAAGCACGAAAGCGUGGGGAUCAAACAGGAUUAGAAACCCCUGUAGUCC